RNAcentral lists this ribosomal RNA (208 nucleotides) under Pseudomonas putida. Its description in RNAcentral is "partial 16S ribosomal RNA". It matches the Rfam family "Bacterial small subunit ribosomal RNA", at positions 169 to 343 of the family's 1533-position model. The record is from RNAcentral. Lineage: Bacteria; Pseudomonadati; Pseudomonadota; Gammaproteobacteria; Pseudomonadales; Pseudomonadaceae.
CNGAACGGUUCCUUGNGAGNGAAAGACGAUAAUCCUNCCUCGGCGUUGCGGGAGAAAGCGGGGGACCUUCGGGCCUUGCGCUAUCUUUAUGUAGCCUAGGUCGGAUUAGCUAGUUGGUGGGGUAAUGGCUCACCAAGGCGACGAUCCGUAACUGGUCUGAGAGGAUGAUCAGUCACACUGGAACUGAGACACGGUCCAGACUCCUACG